AGUAAGGUAAUGCUGAGACUUUUCCAGCAUACGUGAUGCGCUGGGACUUUUACCAACACAUCAGUGACAUACUGGCAUCUACUACCAUUCUGACUGACUGGCCGGUACAAGAUGGGGUCUGUAAUUCCUACUCCAAGGUAGCUUUAGUUUGGAAACAAUGGAAUUUUACCUGUGGAUGUAGCAAGGUUCCCGCCCAAGCAUUGCGCAUCGUGUGUUUAUCCAUUAGAGCUUUGGUCGGGCAAGGCCUGGAUCAGUAACAAAUGUAAAUAGGCAUAGAAAUGACCGCGCUCUUCAUGGUUUGGCGGUCAGGCUGUUAUGUCUUCCCAAAAUUUUCUGUUUAAUGAUGUGUUGUUGGUUCGGUUAGCUGGUGAGUUCUGUCCUGGAAACUGAAAUCGAGCAUCAAAAGAGAUUUUUUACCCUGCUAGAUAUCUGCACUUGUGCUGUGAUGUGAUUAGCUUGGAAAUGUAAGGUUGAUGCUAAAAUCGUUGCGUUCCUUGGAUUGCUGCAGUUCUAGAUGAUGGAUCACCCCUGGACGAGUCUGUCAGUGUGUGUCUGGAUGCAAGUGUGCAAUGUUGCAGGCUCACAAUGGGAUUAAAUGUUUGUUGAGAGGGAGACGGGAAGCUAAAUAGUACUCCCUCCGUCCCAUGAUAUAAGAGCGUUUUUGACACUAGUGUAGUGUCAAAAACGCUCUUAUAUUAUGGGACGGAGGGAGUACUACAAACUUUCGAAGGCCGCCAUGUAAGGGCUCGGCUUAAUAGAGGAGAGAAAGACAAAAGACAAGAGACGCU
This 788-nucleotide long non-coding RNA is filed under the name Triticum aestivum (bread wheat). RNAcentral describes it as "long non-coding RNA (TAES_LNC027561)". The stretch from base 629 to 715 matches the Rfam family "MIR1120/MIR1122 microRNA precursor family". Lineage: Eukaryota; Viridiplantae; Streptophyta; Magnoliopsida; Poales; Poaceae. The record is from RNAcentral.